This 369-nucleotide ribosomal RNA is filed under the name uncultured organism. RNAcentral describes it as "bacterial SSU rRNA". It matches the Rfam family "Bacterial small subunit ribosomal RNA", at positions 526 to 896 of the family's 1533-position model. The record is from RNAcentral.
CGAGAGGCCCAAACGUUAUUCGGAAUUACUGGGCUUAAAGAGUUCGUAGGCGGCGCAGAAAGUAGGGUGUGAAAGCCCUCGGCUCAACCGAGGAAUUGCGCUCUAAACUACUGUGCUUGAGGAAGCUAGAGGUGAGCGGAACUGAUGGUGGAGCGGUGAAAUGCGUUGAUAUCAUCAGGAACACCGGAGGCGAAGGCGGCUCACUGGGGCUUUUCUGACGCUGAGGAACGAAAGCCAGGGGAGCGAACGGGAUUACGAUACCCCGGUAGUCCUGGCCGUAAACGAUGAGCACUGGACCGGAGGACUGCACAGUUUUCCGGCGUAGCGAAAGUGUUAAGUGCUCCGCCUGGGGAUAUGGUCGCAAGGCUG